Molecule: ribosomal RNA, 407 nt
Filed under: uncultured bacterium
Lineage: Bacteria
Description: bacterial SSU rRNA
Rfam family: Bacterial small subunit ribosomal RNA
Source: RNAcentral
AAUGAACGCUGGCGGCGCGCCUAAUACAUGCAAGUCGAGCGAGAAGACGUAGCAAUACGUUUGUAAAGCGGCGAACGGGUGAGGAAUACAUGGGUAACCUACCCUCGAGUGGGGAAUAACUAGCCGAAAGGUUAGCUAAUACCGCGUACGCUUCUUGGACUUCGGUUCAGGGAGGAAAGCGAUACCGUGGGUAUCGCGCUCUUGGAUGGGCUCAUGUCCUAUCAGCUUGUUGGUGAGGUAACGGCUCACCAAGGCUUCGACGGGUAGCUGGUCUGAGAGGACGAUCAGCCACACUGGGACUGAGACACGGCCCAGACUCCUACGGGAGCAGCAGUGGGGAAUUUUCGCAAUGGGGGGAAACCCUGACGAAGCAACGCCGCGUGGAGGAUGAAGGCCUCGGUCGUAAC